Long non-coding RNA from Fukomys damarensis (Damara mole-rat), 328 nucleotides. RefSeq lists it as uncharacterized. Lineage: Eukaryota; Metazoa; Chordata; Mammalia; Rodentia; Bathyergidae. The record is from RefSeq and is a predicted model, not a curated record. The transcript is spliced from 3 exons.
GCCUCUGUGGGAUUGAGUGUCUCCCUGGAGUACAGGAAAGAAGUGAGUUCGUGCUAUGGUGUAAACCCAAUACCUGGACUCAUCACCUUACACCAGCAGCAGAAAACGCAAAGGGAAGCAUUGACUAGCUACCGUUUUCUACCAAGUGCUGUUCUCCAAACUUUGGAUGAAACCAGAUACGGGAGAGAAAGUAGCAUCAGCUACAAGGUCAGAUAAUGGCCCCGGUGUAAGAAGUUUCAAAUAGCAAGAUUUGACCUGCCUUUGGGAUUUUUGGGCUCCUGAAUGGUAGGUCUUGAAGGAAAAAGAGCAGGAAGAGGAGAAGAAGAGG